Molecule: long non-coding RNA, 187 nt
Organism: Penaeus monodon (black tiger shrimp)
Lineage: Eukaryota; Metazoa; Arthropoda; Malacostraca; Decapoda; Penaeidae
Exons: 2
Source: RefSeq, a predicted model, not a curated record
UACCAAAAAUAGUCAUUUGGCAACCCAGAAUAAGACAUGUAUAAAAUCCCGCAGGAGAGUUUAACAUUAGUGUGGGUCAGGAAGUCCCACUACACUUACGAGAUGACGAAUUCAUUUCUUCUUUUCUUCUUCGUGGUUUUCGCGAUGCUCAACUCCGCUCUGCCAUACGAAUUCAGUUACGGCAGUC